GUGAGGAAUUUUGCGCAAUGGGGGAAACCCUGACGCAGCAACGCCGCGUGAGUGAUGAAGGCUUUCGGGUCGUAAAGCUCUGUCAAGUGGGAAGAAUAUGCCCUGUGAUAAUACCAUGGGGCACUGACGGUACCACUGAAGGAAGCACCGGCUAACUCCGUGCCAGCAGCCGCGGUAAUACGGGGGGUGCAAGCGUUAUUCGGAAUCAUUGGGCGUAAAGGGCGCGUAGGCGGCCCCUUAAGUCAGAUGUGAAAGCCCUCAGCUUAACUGAGGAAGUGCAUUUGAAACUAAGGGGCUUGAGUAUGGGAGAGGGAAGCGGAAUUCCUGGUGUAGCGGUGAAAUGCGUAGAUAUCAGGAGGAACACCGGUGGCGAAGGCGGCUUCCUGGACCAAUACUGACGCUGAGGCGCGAAGGCGUGGGGAGCAAACAGGAUUAGAUACCCCAGUAGUCC
RNAcentral lists this ribosomal RNA (451 nucleotides) under uncultured bacterium. RNAcentral describes it as "bacterial SSU rRNA". It matches the Rfam family "Bacterial small subunit ribosomal RNA", at positions 354 to 796 of the family's 1533-position model. The record is from RNAcentral.